CGCCAAAACGCGCCCGGUCGAGCGAGUCGAGAUAGGAGAGGGUGGUGGGUAGGGCAGCGGCCAUAGGCGUGGCGUCGGUCCGUCGCGGGUUCUUACUGCAGCCGCAGCCGCGGGAGGGCGCGCGAGGGUAAGGAGAGCGGCGACAGGCGGCGGGGCGCGCCGGGGAGGCCGGCCGAGGCGACGCGCCGCCGGCGGCCCGUCCGGCCGAAGAAGUGGGCGGAGCCGGCCGAGUAGUUCCUCUUCCGGUUCUCGCUGCAGCUGUUCGAGAAGAGGCCGAAGAGGUUCUGGGCGCUCUGGGAGAGGCAGCAGCUGCUCGACGAGUGGAUGACCUUGGAGCGGCUGUGGCUGGCGCAGGAGCUGCUGGAGCUCCUCCGCGACAACCACAGCCUGAAGCCCGGGUUCUAGAGCAAGGCCUAGCAGCUGCGGGAGGCGCUGGUCUAGGCGCUGCCGUUCGAGUUCAGGCCCUGGCUCUAUUUCCGCAGCGACUUCUCUACGUAGGAGCUCGACGAGUGCUGGUUCCCGUCGUUCUGGCUCGACGUCGAGCCGAAGUCCUUCGGCCGCCAAUAGUACUAGCACCCUCACUUGCCUCCGCCGUUCUGCUGUAGCGAUCCUUUUGAACGGAUGUCUAAAUUCUUACUUCCUCGCUUCCAUAACUACCGCCGUCCACUAUGGAAGGCUCGUCGUCGAGCACUGGUCGAUCUUUAAACCCGACUCUCCUGACCGAGUCUCUAACAAUAGCUAUUGCUAUUCUUCCGCGUCCGAGGUAGUCAAGAAAGCGUCCGUCAUUUCGCACCCUUCGCACUUCCUAAACUAUAACAAGAUACACUAUGCAGUCCUGCUGAAGUAUGUUUAAUGCCAGAGUACCUUCUCAACCAAAGAACGUUCUUUCAGUAUCGAUUUCGGGACGGACCACGAGGAUUACUCUAGAACGACCAAGACCUACCGUGUUGACCUAAUUUAUACGAUGUCGUUCGCUUCCUCAAGUUGCUACAACAACCCUAGUGUCCUAAGUAGGACUGCUUCAAUCUGCCCUGACGAGCACCACCGACGCACCACUCGCAGCACCUGCUUGAACCUUAAGGUCAGUUCAAACAACCGCAGCCGCUUCCCCACCUUCUAGAGGUUGGAAAACUACGUCUCCGUAAACAACUUCGGUAAAAGGGUAUUUAAACUGGGACAAUAAUCACAAAGAGUACAUCGUUCUAAAACCGAUUGUGUACGAUCUUGAAUAAUCUUCGUUAGAAAAGUUGUUAAUGUCGAAAAAACCAAGUCAGCAACUGUGCAGGCGGAGUGAACAGAGAUAGCAACUAGGAAUCUUCGUUCAUAAAUAUACUAAGAACACUAAUUCAGGGUUUCUUCGUUCAUACAUAUACUAAGAACACUAAUUCGAGUCCCGUGUAACGUCUAUGUAACUCGUUCUCAUGGUUGUCAUUAACUAUCGUUUGAAAAGAA
RNAcentral lists this ribosomal RNA (1452 nucleotides) under Triticum aestivum (bread wheat). RNAcentral describes it as "partial small subunit ribosomal RNA". The record is from RNAcentral. Lineage: Eukaryota; Viridiplantae; Streptophyta; Magnoliopsida; Poales; Poaceae.